GACGAACGCUGGCGGCGUGCUUAACACAUGCAAGUCGAACGGAAAGGCACUGCUUUUGUGGGGUGCUCGAGUGGCGAACGGGUGAGUAACACGUGAGUAACCUGCCCUUGACUUUGGGAUAACUUCAGGAAACUGGGGCUAAUACCGGAUAGGAGCUCCUGCUGCAUGGAGGGGGUUGGAAAGUUUCGGCGGUUGGGGAUGGACUCGCGGCUUAUCAGCUUGUUGGUGGGGUAGUGGCUUACCAAGGCUUUGACGGGUAGCCGGCCUGAGAGGGUGACCGGCCACAUUGGGACUGAGGUACGGCCCAGACUCCUACGGGAGACAGCAGUGGGAAAUAUUGCACAAUGGGCGGAAGCGUGAUGCAGCGACGCCGCGUGCGGGAUGACGGCCUUCGGGGUGUAAACCGCUUUCGCCUGUGACGAAGCGUGAGUGACGGUAAUGAGUAAAGAAGCACCGGCUAACUACGUG
RNAcentral lists this ribosomal RNA (468 nucleotides) under uncultured bacterium. RNAcentral's name for it is "partial 16S ribosomal RNA". It matches the Rfam family "Bacterial small subunit ribosomal RNA", at positions 28 to 507 of the family's 1533-position model. The record is from RNAcentral.